Long non-coding RNA from Amphimedon queenslandica, 175 nucleotides. RefSeq lists it as uncharacterized. The record is from RefSeq and is a predicted model, not a curated record. Lineage: Eukaryota; Metazoa; Porifera; Demospongiae; Haplosclerida; Niphatidae. The transcript is spliced from 2 exons.
AGGACCAGGAGGAUUUCCAGGAAUCACCAUGUAAUAAUAGUGAGGGUCAUAGUGCUGGUCAACAUAUACUGCCUGUACACACUACAGAUGAUAAUGACUCUAGCUCAAGAGAUUCUGAAGCAAGCACAAAUUCAUUGAAAGAUAAGAGGAAAGUAGCUGUAGCACGACAAAAAAA